RNAcentral lists this ribosomal RNA (1557 nucleotides) under Escherichia coli. RNAcentral describes it as "bacterial SSU rRNA". It matches the Rfam family "Bacterial small subunit ribosomal RNA". The record is from RNAcentral. Lineage: Bacteria; Pseudomonadati; Pseudomonadota; Gammaproteobacteria; Enterobacterales; Enterobacteriaceae.
UUAAAUUGAAGAGUUUGAUCAUGGCUCAGAUUGAACGCUGGCGGCAGGCCUAACACAUGCAAGUCGAACGGUAACAGGAAGCAGCUUGCUGCUUUCGCUGACGAGUGGCGGACGGGUGAGUAAUGUCUGGGAAACUGCCUGAUGGAGGGGGAUAACUACUGGAAACGGUAGCUAAUACCGCAUAACGUCGCAAGACCAAAGAGGGGGACCUUCGGGCCUCUUGCCAUCGGAUGUGCCCAGAUGGGAUUAGCUUGUUGGUGGGGUAACGGCUCACCAAGGCGACGAUCCCUAGCUGGUCUGAGAGGAUGACCAGCCACACUGGAACUGAGACACGGUCCAGACUCCUACGGGAGGCAGCAGUGGGGAAUAUUGCACAAUGGGCGCAAGCCUGAUGCAGCCAUGCCGCGUGUAUGAAGAAGGCCUUCGGGUUGUAAAGUACUUUCAGCGGGGAGGAAGGGAGUAAAGUUAAUACCUUUGCUCAUUGACGUUACCCGCAGAAGAAGCACCGGCUAACUCCGUGCCAGCAGCCGCGGUAAUACGGAGGGUGCAAGCGUUAAUCGGAAUUACUGGGCGUAAAGCGCACGCAGGCGGUUUGUUAAGUCAGAUGUGAAAUCCCCGGGCUCAACCUGGGAACUGCAUCUGAUACUGGCAAGCUUGAGUCUCGUAGAGGGGGGUAGAAUUCCAGGUGUAGCGGUGAAAUGCGUAGAGAUCUGGAGGAAUACCGGUGGCGAAGGCGGCCCCCUGGACGAAGACUGACGCUCAGGUGCGAAAGCGUGGGGAGCAAACAGGAUUAGAUACCCUGGUAGUCCACGCCGUAAACGAUGUCGACUUGGAGGUUGUGCCCUUGAGGCGUGGCUUCCGGAGCUAACGCGUUAAGUCGACCGCCUGGGGAGUACGGCCGCAAGGUUAAAACUCAAAUGAAUUGACGGGGGCCCGCACAAGCGGUGGAGCAUGUGGUUUAAUUCGAUGCAACGCGAAGAACCUUACCUGGUCUUGACAUCCACGGAAGUUUUCAGAGAUGAGAAUGUGCCUUCGGGAACCGUGAGACAGGUGCUGCAUGGCUGUCGUCAGCUCGUGUUGUGAAAUGUUGGGUUAAGUCCCGCAACGAGCGCAACCCUUAUCCUUUGUUGCCAGCGGUCCGGCCGGGAACUCAAAGGAGACUGCCAGUGAUAAACUGGAGGAAGGUGGGGAUGACGUCAAGUCAUCAUGGCCCUUACGACCAGGGCUACACACGUGCUACAAUGGCGCAUACAAAGAGAAGCGACCUCGCGAGAGCAAGCGGACCUCAUAAAGUGCGUCGUAGUCCGGAUUGGAGUCUGCAACUCGACUCCAUGAAGUCGGAAUCGCUAGUAAUCGUGGAUCAGAAUGCCACGGUGAAUACGUUCCCGGGCCUUGUACACACCGCCCGUCACACCAUGGGAGUGGGUUGCAAAAGAAGUAGGUAGCUUAACCUUCGGGAGGGCGCUUACCACUUUGUGAUUCAUGACUGGGGUGAAGUCGUAACAAGGUAACCGUAGGGGAACCUGCGGUUGGAUCACCUCCUUACCUUAAAGAAGC